Molecule: ribosomal RNA, 491 nt
Filed under: uncultured bacterium
Lineage: Bacteria
Description: partial 16S ribosomal RNA
Rfam family: Bacterial small subunit ribosomal RNA
Source: RNAcentral
AGUGAACGCUGGCGGUAGGCCUAACACAUGCAAGUCGAACGGCAGCACAGUAAGAGCUUGCUCUUACGGGUGGCGAAUGGCGGACGGGCGAGGAAUACAUCGGAAUCUACUUUUUCGUGGGGGAUCACGUAGGGAAACUUACUCUAAUACCGCAUACGACCUACGGGUGAAAGCAUGGGAUCGUCGGACCUUGCGCGAUUGGAUGCGCCGAUGUCGGAUUAGCUAGUUGGCGGGGUAAAGGCCCACCAAGCGACGAUCCGUAGCUGGUCUGAGAGGAUGAUAGGCCACACUGGAACGGAGACAGGGUCCAGACUCCUACGAGAGGGAGCAGUCGGGAAUAUUGGACAAUGGGCGCAAGCCUGAUCCAGCGAUACCGCGUGGGUGAAGAAGGCCUUCGGGUUGUAAAGACCUUUUGUUGGGAAAGAAAAGCAGCAGGUUAAUACCCCGCUGUUCUGACGGUACCCAAAGAAUAAGCACCGGCUAACUACGUG